Molecule: ribosomal RNA, 490 nt
Filed under: uncultured bacterium
Lineage: Bacteria
Description: partial 16S ribosomal RNA
Rfam family: Bacterial small subunit ribosomal RNA
Source: RNAcentral
AUUGAACGCUGGCGGCAGGCCUAACACAUGCAAGUCGAACGGUAACAGGAAGAAGCUUGCUUCUUUGCUGACGAGUGGCGGACGGGUGAGUAAUGUCUGGGAAACUGCCUGAUGGAGGGGGAUAACUACUGGAAACGGUAGCUAAUACCGCAUAACGUCGCAAGACCAAAAAGGGGGACCUUCGGGCCUCUUGCCAUCGGAUGUGCCCAGAUGGGAUUAGCUAGUAGGUGGGGUAACGGCUCACCUAGGCGACGAUCCCUAGCUGGUCUGAGAGGAUGACCAGCCACACUGGAACUGAGACACGGUCCAGACGCCUACGGGAGGCAGCAGUGGGGAAUAUUGCACAAUGGGGGGAAGCCUGAUGCAGCCAUGCCGAGUGUAUGAAGAAGGCCUUCGGGUUGUGAAGUACUUUCAGCGGGGAGGAAGGGAGUAAAGUAAAGACCUUUGCUCAGUGACGUUACCCGCAGAAGAAGCACCGGCUAACUCCGUG